GGCUUAGAAGCAGCCAUCAUUUAAAGAAAGCGUAAUAGCUCACUGGUCGAGUCGGCCUGCGCGGAAGAUGUAACGGGGCUAAACCAUGCACCGAAGCUGCGGCAGCGACGCUUAUGCGUUGUUGGGUAGGGGAGCGUUCUGUAAGCCUGUGAAGGUGUGCUGUGAGGCAUGCUGGAGGUAUCAGAAGUGCGAAUGCUGACAUAAGUAACGAUAAAGCGGGUGAAAAGCCCGCUCGCCGGAAGACCAAGGGUUCCUGUCCAACGUUAAUCGGGGCAGGGUGAGUCGACCCCUAAGGCGAGGCCGAAAGGCGUAGUCGAUGGGAAACAGGUUAAUAUUCCUGUACUUGGUGUUACUGCGAAGGGGGGACGGAGAAGGCUAUGUUGGCCGGGCGACGGUUGUCCCGGUUUAAGCGUGUAGGCUGGUUUUCCAGGCAAAUCCGGAAAAUCAAGGCUGAGGCGUGAUGACGAGGCACUACGGUGCUGAAGCAACAAAUGCCCUGCUUCCAGGAAAAGCCUCUAAGCAUCAGGUAACAUCAAAUCGUACCCCAAACCGACACAGGUGGUCAGGUAGAGAAUACCAAGGCGCUUGAGAGAACUCGGGUGAAGGAACUAGGCAAAAUGGUGCCGUAACUUCGGGAGAAGGCACGCUGAUAUGUAGGUGAAGUCCCUCGCGGAUGGAGCUGAAAUCAGUCGAAGAUACCAGCUGGCUGCAACUGUUUAUUAAAAACACAGCACUGUGCAAACACGAAAGUGGACGUAUACGGUGUGACGCCUGCCCGGUGCCGGAAGGUUAAUUGAUGGGGUCAGCGCAAGCGAAGCUCUUGAUCGAAGCCCCGGUAAACGGCGGCCGUAACUAUAACGGUCCUAAGGUAGCGAAAUUCCUUGUCGGGUAAGUUCCGACCUGCACGAAUGGCGUAAUGAUGGCCAGGCUGUCUCCACCCGAGACUCAGUGAAAUUGAACUCGCUGUGAAGAUGCAGUGUACCCGCGGCAAGACGGAAAGACCCCGUGAACCUUUACUAUAGCUUGACACUGAACAUUGAGCCUUGAUGUGUAGGAUAGGUGGGAGGCUUUGAAGUGUGGACGCCAGUCUGCAUGGAGCCGACCUUGAAAUACCACCCUUUAAUGUUUGAUGUUCUAACGUUGACCCGUAAUCCGGGUUGCGGACAGUGUCUGGUGGGUAGUUUGACUGGGGCGGUCUCCUCCUAAAGAGUAACGGAGGAGCACGAAGGUUGGCUAAUCCUGGUCGGACAUCAGGAGGUUAGUGCAAUGGCAUAAGCCAGCUUGACUGCGAGCGUGACGGCGCGAGCAGGUGCGAAAGCAGGUCAUAGUGAUCCGGUGGUUCUGAAUGGAAGGGCCAUCGCUCAACGGAUAAAAGGUACUCCGGGGAUAACAGGCUGAUACCGCCCAAGAGUUCAUAUCGACGGCGGUGUUUGGCACCUCGAUGUCGGCUCAUCACAUCCUGGGGCUGAAGUAGGUCCCAAGGGUAUGGCUGUUCGCCAUUUAAAGUGGUACGCGAGCUGGGUUUAGAACGUCGUGAGACAGUUCGGUCCCUAUCUGCCGUGGGCGCUGGAGAACUGAGGGGGGCUGCUCCUAGUACGAGAGGACCGGAGUGGACGCAUCACUGGUGUUCGGGUUGUCAUGCCAAUGGCACUGCCCGGUAGCUAAAUGCGGAAGAGAUAAGUGCUGAAAGCAUCUAAGCACGAAACUUGCCCCGAGAUGAGUUCUCCCUGACUCCUUGAGAGUCCUGAAGGAACGUUGAAGACGACGACGUUGAUAGGCCGGGUGUGUAAGCGCAGCGAUGCGUUGAGCUAACCGGUACUAAUGAACCGUGAGGCUUAACCUUACAAC
RNAcentral lists this ribosomal RNA (1848 nucleotides) under Escherichia coli. RNAcentral describes it as "partial 23S ribosomal RNA". It matches the Rfam family "Bacterial large subunit ribosomal RNA", at positions 1103 to 2925 of the family's 2925-position model. Lineage: Bacteria; Pseudomonadati; Pseudomonadota; Gammaproteobacteria; Enterobacterales; Enterobacteriaceae. The record is from RNAcentral.